AGGCGUGUUUAUAAAAGCACUUGGGUAAAUGGGUGCAAUUUCUUCUGUAGAUAAGAUCUGAAAAUACAAACACGGGUCUUAAUCUGCAAACACUUGAAUUUAAGCGCUUGAUUAGUUCCAUUUAAGUCAAUGGGACUGCUCUAGUGCUUGCAGGUAAGUGUUUUAGGAUCAAAGCCCUUGGCGCUGCUCCAGAAAGCUGCUCUAUCAGGAAGACAGUGAAGAAUUUCCCUCUAAAAUCCAACGCGGUGCUCUAAUAUUCACAUUCUCCCUAAGCGAAAAGCCGGCGGUGCUAAUGAGCUUCACCAGCGGGUACCUUGGGGAAGGAUGCAAAGGAGGCUGUGAGAGAUAAUGGCUGUCCCUGGAGGCCCAGCUCUCCCCUCUGUCGGUCUGAGAAGAGGCACUUGUAUUUAUUCACCUGUGCUUUUCAGUGGGCAACAAUCUGGAUGGCACGUUCUUGCGGCAUCCUCUCCUGCAUAGGUUGCAGAGUACUUCAGCGGGAUGCAGGAUUGCAUUGCACUCAAACUGCUGCAUUCCUCCAGAGCCCCAUGAAGGAAAUAUACACAGUGAUUGAGGUUAUUAAUCAGUGGUUGGACAUCCUGCAAGAAAAUAUUGCGUUCUCAAAGGUUGGCUGAAACUUAGCCACCAAUGCAUGGAUCUCCCUUUUGCUUCCAAGGAGCAAAGAGAAUGAAGACAGGCCUUCAAGAAGGAACUAAUGUAGAAUUACACUUGCAUUUGAAUUUACAGUCUAGGUUGGUUCCCUGCAACUCAUUCCUUCUCUCUUCAUUUUCCCCCCUUUCCAUUAAAUUACUUCCCAAACCCAAUUUCCAAUGAUUUUUUCCUGGAUUAGCUCCCCUUAAUAACACUUCCACAGCCAAGGAGUGAGAAGGAUGAGUGAUAAUGAGCCACCUUUUUUCCCUGUCAUCAAAUAGUCAGAAGGAUGGAGAAAUCUUGACAUGUCUGUCACUAAUCCCAGAUCAGAUGGAAAAGAACACACUGCUCACGUCUGCUGCUGUCUUUGCUUGUGAAGCAAGAAAGAAGAACGUGUAAAGAGACGUAAUAACACAACCUAGAACUCCACCCUGCUCCUUUUCAGCCAGGAACAUGCACAAAUCUGUUUAUGGGUUGGAAAUACAUCAAUACCCACUUAGCCCCAGGAAAGUGUGUGAAGCAACUGGUGCAGCGUGCUGUUAGACGCAGGGUACUGGCUGAAAAGAUCUUGAAUCUCUUCUGAAGUGACAGCUGCUUGGUACGUGCUUUUCCCUGCAUGGCACAGGGAUGACACUAUUUCUCUGAGCUUUGUUUUUCCAGUCUAUGUACGCUACGUACUUUCUGGAGCAAGGGCUGCUUCAGUGGCAUUUCGAACUUCACUGAAGUCUCUACGAUGGGACUGUAUUAAAAUAGUAAAGAAAUCACAAGCAUGUUCACAUAAUAAUUAUUAUGCAAAGUCAGGAGGGGGAGGGGAAAAAAAGAGUGUGAGAUUUCUUUGAAAGGCUGCCAGGUACAGGUACAGACACAAAAGAUGUUUGAAGUGGGAGCACACUCUUAUCAGCCUGAAGGAAUUACUGAUACAGCAGCUCCCCUUGUUCAGAAGACUGCUCUCAACUUUCAUUUUAUGACAUUUGUUUACUUUACUGAAUUAUUUUCCUAUUUUUUUUCUUACGUUGGCUCCCAAGAGUCUCCUUUGGGUUCACACAGUGUUUCACUACUUCCAGAAGAUUUUUGUUCAGCUCAGCUCUUCUUUGUAACUUUCUGCUAUAGCCAGGUAAGUAUGGACAGCUAAUUAAUGUAGACUUCAGCUUUUAUUUCCUCUUCUUUUCAGUUAAAGGAGCUGAAAAGAAAUAUUCUGAAGUUCCCAAGAAGUGCUGCUUUUCAGGUCUUCCUGGAAAAAAAAGUGUUCAUGUUUGACCUUGACUUGUAUGUCUUUCCAUUCGCACUGCCUGGCAGCAAAUUAAUAUAUCCUAAUAGUGCACAAAGUGGAGAAAAAGGCAGAGACACUGAAAGAAAGAGAGCAAGCACCUUGUAGCAUCUAUCUUUCUGUGCAGUUUUGCUAGCUUUUCUGCUACUGUGUUAGAGACUGUUUUUUUCACAUCUCAAGAAGUUCAUCGGCAGAGAACAGAACAUCUGAAAGCAGUAGGUUGGUAGGGCAUGCCUGCUUUGUGUGUGCUGCUAUACAGGUUUACUGUCAGAAGUCUGCAUUAGUUGCCUCAAGUUUCUAUGCAGUUUCAAACUAAUCUGAUGUAAGACAAGAAAAUUCAGCCUCUCUUCCUGAAGUGAAAUUUCUUCUCUGAAGAACACAAGCCAACAUACAGCAGAGCACUACUGUGUACAUGUUCCAAGAAUGAAGCAGUACUGGCAUCUGCAAGCCCUGGGUUCUUACCCAGUGUGCAGCAGCCUUUUGCUCCUACUGCCUCUUGCCAUGGGGGCAGGCAGCGCCUCAAGAAAGCAGAGAUGAACACACAUGCUCCAGGGACAUAAAAUUAUCAGUAACUCGUGACCUACCCAAAGUCCUGGCAGCAGAACUUGCUAGUCAGAGAUGGUUUGGCAAUGGAAGUUUUCCUGUAGAUUACCAGACAAUUACAGUGACAAUACCUUGGACAUACUGCAGAAAGGUUUUUGUUGAGCACUGGCUGAAUGUGUUCUGACUUGAGUCUCUUCACAAACGGUGUGACCUGUGCUGCCAUUGAUAGGGAGCAGGGAAAGAGCACCUGAUGUGAAAACGGAGAUUCAAGAAGCUUGCUUUCAAGAAGAUUCCUGUGGAUCUCCAUGCUUCAAGUAGCAGUUGGUUCACCUGUAUUAACAAGUUUUUCACUCCUGUGUUUACAAGAAAGAAAAGGCAUAUAGAUACCUAACAUCAAUUAUCGCAUAUUUGCAUUAAGUAUACAUUAAAUAAUACUGCUCCAAAUAACUUUCUUGUGAUGAAAGAAUUCAAUUACAAGCGCUUUCUCAGCGACUCUCAAAAGUUGUUUGCCCUCCUGUUUAUACCCUCCCUUCAAGUACUAAAAGGCCACAAUGAGGAUUCCCCGGAGCUUUUUCCAAGCUAAACAAGCCCAGUUCCCUCAACCUUUCUUCAUGAGAGAGGUGCUCCAGCCCUCUGGUCACCUUCACGGUCUUCCUCUGGACCCAGCUUCUCUAGAUCAGCUACAAUAGUGUGAGAUGGAGCUUUUCUGAAGCAGCAAAUAGGAGACAGUUGGACAGAAACUGAGCACCAAAAUUGGCUUCACCAUCUUGACGUGCCUGAAACGUGCCUGAGGAUUUUGGUUUUGUUAUUUUUGAUGGGUUUAGAAUACAAGCAGAUUGAACACCCUAUUCUGUACAAGGAGGCACCGAGACCCAGCUUUCCCUAUGUGUUGUUCUGAGUUCAACUGCGAGACUCUGAACGAGCCAGUAAAGUCAACCAGAGAUAAUAAAAUAUGAAUCACUUACACUCAGAUAUUCUGCAAGGGAGUCAAUGUGCUGCCAUAAGGAAAACCCUACAUUUGUGGCAUUUAACUGCAGAGUGUAAUGGAAAAAUUUGUCCUCCUCUUCUGAUUCCCUUUGGUAAAUAUUUAGAAGAUAGCAAAUUCUCACGCAAAUUUCCAUAUGUCUGAAUGACCACAUUGUGAAGGAUUUGAUACACAUGUUGAAAAAUAAUAAGAGUUGCUGUAAAAGGAUGUAUUACUUUUUAAAUCAUAGGAUCAUGGAACCACAGAAUGGCCUGGGUUGAAAAGGACCUAAAAGAUCAUCCAGUUUCAACCCUCCUGACGUGGGCAGGGUCAACAACCACCAGAACAGGCUGCCCAGAAGAACUGGUAGAGUAUUUCUUAGAACCCAGAAGAAUCAGAAGGGAGCGGUUCUAUGGAGUUUAAGAAUCAGCAUUUAAAAAUCAUAUCAGGAAAGGCUGGUGUAAAAAUCAACACAGCUCUCAGUGGUUGAACAUGUUGUAAAAAGCAGACUGGCGGAGAGAAAAAACGAUGAUUUCUACUGUGAGGGCUGUUACAAAACUCAGACCAUGAGCUGGGAGAAAUCACAUAGCUGUCCAUCUGUAGCCACUUUCAGAGAGGAUAAAAGAGAACUUUAGACUCUCUGACAGCUCUUCAGAAGGUAUAAAAUUCUCUUCUUUUUUUUUUCAUUUUCAGACGUUUUUUGAUAUAACGGCUUAGAAGCUAAAAAAGCAGGAAAGUUUGUGCUCUACCAACCUAUGGGAAACAAAAAAUAAAGAUUGCAACAAGAGCCAUUGGUUUAAAGCCUUAAAAAACACUGUGUUUGGAAUUACUCAGUUCAAUCCACUUGGCAAAAUAUUUUUACCUAAUAAAUAAGUUACUUUGGAUAAAGACAGGUACUUGGAAGCCAAAAUGUUUUUGCUAAGCUUUCUUUCUGAUUUGUUCCAUGUAUGGGUUCUUAAUGAAUAUCAGUUCCCAGGAUAAAGCAGGUUGCAAUAACACCUAUGCAUUCGGGCAGCUGGUAAAUAUUUAUUGAACAUUUUUAACAUGAAAGGAAGGAAAAAACAGACUAUAAGAAUGUAAGUUAAGCGACGUAAUAGCAUAGAUACGUAAAUAGUGUGUUCUCCUGAAGAGCAGUAAGGACAAAAUCAACUGUAAAAUUAUACAUAGUGACAAGUGAAUAAGUCCUUUUGUUUCCAAGCCAAUGACGACUAAUUCUCUUCAGGAAAAUAGCAGUGUGUGCAAAACAAGGCAAAGUGUUUUAAAGCAAUGUUCUUUGCUGCUGCUUUAGUUAUGAUCAAAAAUUCAAGCUGAUUGUGAUCCUUAUGGAAGACUAUACUCCAAUAUGCAGCUCAGACAACAGACAUUUUCGGGUACUGUUCAUCUUGCAUCAACAGCAGGAACACCACAGCCCCUUUCCUAGAAACACAGCCCUUCAUUCGAGACUUUCAGUCUAAACAGAAGUCAAACUGUGCCAUGGGUAACCUGAGACUCAGUCUCAAGAGCUGUGCCUUCCCAAGAUGUUUUUCCCCAGUCAGCAGUAACUCAGCUGGCACUGUGGGCUGGUCUAGGAGGAACACACGCUCCACUUUCUUUGACGAGAGAUUCCUUUGGUUAGUUCUGUGGUAAUGAAAAUUAUAGGGAGGAAUGAUGAAAACUGAACUUCAGACUGUUUUACAUUCUUUCAGUACUAUUUAGCAUGAUGGUUGUUGACUUCUCCCCUGCUGCUAUAUUUAGAAAGGGGUGUAGGAGGGAGACAAGCGUUAGUAUUAUGGGUUAUGACACAAAAACAUCAGAAGUCGGUUCCCAUUUCUCUUUGGUAUCCUCUGGAGAGCUCCAGUAUUUACAGAAAGCUCCAGUUCCACCACAGCAGUCCAAGAGAAUGGGCACCCAUUUAGACUCUGGGACCACGCAGAGCUGCACAAGGUGGGGGGGUAACUGGGAUGUGAACAUUUUUUCUUCACAGAUCUUCAUUUCCCACCACCAGAUAAGCUUCAAAUAACUUCCACUCCUGGUGGAAUUUUUCUUUCUUAUACGUCAGUGCUUGGUUCAUUUUAGAAUUAAGAGAAAAAAGAAGAAGAAAAAAUAUCCCAAGCUUCCUCUGCAUUCAAAAAAUCAACAAAAAAAUCCAUGGGAAAAAAAAUAAUUGCAUAAUGCCCCAGAAGAAACAGGCAUGAAUUGAAGUCACCCCCUGCAGAGAAUGUUGGGUCUGUUUAUUUUAAAUGAACUAUUACGGAUUUUGUGAUGUUUUUCUGGAAGUUUUUCAUAAGCAUUCCUGCUUCCUCUUGCUGCAGGCCAGGCUGAGGUAGCAGGCUGGAGGAGCUCUUCGGACCUGACCUCCAGCCAUGAGAGAGCGCCUCAGCUCCAGCCCAACUGUGGCAGUUUUUAAACUGCAACAUGCAUUAAAAAACUCAACAGCUCCACAGGCUAAGCCAUAAACACAUCUGACACCAAAUGGGAAAGCUUGAUAUCUCCCAGGAAUAAUAAAGAGACAGAGGAAGAGCUCAGUGCAGCCCCUCUGCUGCCUGUUAGGAUCAGCAGCCGCCAUGAGGCCUCCUCUCAGCUCCUCUGCUUUGCACAAAGCGAAGGCCUCAGCUGCUCCUCACACACCUUGCCCUCCAGACCCUUCCCCAUCUUUGUUGCCCUCCUUUGGACACUCUCUAAUAGUUUUUUUGUUUACGAUUCCAUUUAUAUUGUGGCACCAAAACUGCACGCAGUACAGGAGACUGAGCCCCUCCUAAGCUCAGCUCUUACUCUCGCCCUUCCCUCUUGUUGCCCUCACAGCACCUCCUGGGGACAGCGAGAGAUGCAUGGGGUCACCUCUGUAGAUCCUCCACCCGUUUUGCUGCUGUAAUUCCUUUCUGAAUGCCAGGGGCCCAUAACCAGCAGAAGCUGGCAAGCCCUGCAGCAGGCAGCACGGACCUGUGGCUGGGGUAGCUGUGUGCGAAUGAGAGCCUCUCCAGCUACGACACCGAAAUCUGCCCACUCUCCUGCCUACAGAUUCUCUCUGAAGAACAAAUUCAGCAUGACGGCAACAACUGAAGAAAACAAAAAGCCCUGUAACUUCCAGCAGAAAGUGUGUGCUGUCAGGACGGUUUCUCUUCCUGCCUUCCUACCAUUCACCCCAAAUUAAUGUCUGUGGCUCCACGUGGCUCCUGCCUCCUCCCCAUUCCCUCACUACAAACUAAGCUCAGAUGCUGCAGAUGCACGGAGGGUUUCUCAGCGUUUCCAUCCACACCAGAGACCAUUCUGCACAUCUGAUGCACACGUGAAACUGCUUCACAGGGGUCAGGUCAGGAGACCACGUUUUCAUUUGGAGCUACACCAAGCCCAAGUUUUAUCAUUUGUUUGUUUUUAAAGCAAAAAUAUACAACUCACUUGACUUCACAGGAGAAGAAAGCGCUGCAGAGAAUCCUUCACGCUGGCAGGGUUGGGUUACAGCUCCUCCACGUCCCACCCACACGGCUGAACCCAGCGCCUGGUCACCGGGAGGAAAUGAAAUGCACAUGUCAGCGGUCCUGCUCACCCUUCCUGCUCCCAAGUAGAGCUGUUCUGCUGCAGCCACAGAGAUCCCAGGACCAGAGGAUGAGCCAAGAGGAGGGGUGCUUGCUAUAUCUUUUCUUGGACAAACUGUGUAUCGAAAUCAAGCUUUCUGAGCCAGAAGUAAUGAAAAAGCAUUGCUUGGAAGCAAUUUGCGUUUGCGUUUGCGUUUUCACACCAAGGCUCAGAGCUGUGUGAUAGGUUGGCAAGAGCUUAAACGUAACAAAAUUAACAUCAAAGCUCAAUGAAAAUGGACAACAAUAUUGCAAAUUCCGUACAGGAGAAUAUGUCAGUUUGAUUAAGUGACCAGUAAGUAACAAACAUGACUGACUGUAAAUUUAAAAGCAACUGCUAUACUUCUUCUGUUAGAACAAGAGUUUUCUUAGAGUUCUCUUCCCCCUCAGAUUCCUCUUCCCUUCUCCUUGUUUCCAAGUUGGAAAGCAGAGGAACCAGGACGUCAACUUCUGAAUUUAUUUCUCCAGGAAUAAAACAAAGGUGAGAGAUUCCUUCUAAUGCGAGCUCUAGGCUACCAGCACUGGGCUUCGUUAGCAAAGAAGCUAAAAGGAAUUAACCAUUUAUAGUCCAGAGAAAAAUCAAAGCAGAAUGGCUUUUUGAUAAAUAUUAAAGCCCAUCGAUCCCCAGUAAGUACCAUAUCAGGCUGCUGAAGACUUCCAAGUUGCCACAGCAGCCCCAAUGGAGAAGAGCCAAAGAGCCAAAGGACUCUGAGGAAAAAGCCACAGCAGAGCCCCAGCCCCUGCUGAGAGCUGCGCAUGUGGCACAGCACCCACAGCUUGGCAUGGGACCACAGCUGCCCAGCAACACCUCCUUGCAGCCAGAGCACUGCCAGAAAUGCAUCCAGGAAGGGGAGAACAAAAGGGAAGCAGAACUGGAGCCCAACCAACGCUAGGAAGUCUCAGUGUAAGAGAAGCACAUUCAGCUGCCCAUUUCUUCUGAAUAGCAUUGCAGGAAGAUGGCUGUCUGCAUCAGCUGGGUUUCUAGACGGAUGAAAACUGAACCAAUGUUUAUAACUGAGAUUAUAACAUAACAGAGAGGAUAAUAGGAAAAAAAAAAAAGAUGAGUGGUGAAACCGAGCUGAAACUUUACCAUUCCUUCUGCUUGUUAGCAGAUGCAGGAGGAACCAGGCAAGCAUAAUAUGGGACAACCUGUGUAAUUAGAACAGACGUCUGCGUUGACUAAAGUGUCCUGGAUGUUAGGUGUAGAGGUGGACUCUGGAAUGUACAGAUGAAAACAGCUUCUUAAUAUCAGUUUGCUUACAGAGAAGGAGACAUUUUAUCUGGCGUUAAAUAUUUAUGGAUAUAUUUCCAGCGAGAUUCCUUGUAGCCUUAAAGAAAAUUCAAAUCUACUACCUUAAGCAAAGCGGGCUUCAAAAAACUGGAUGUCAGACUGUACAAAUAAAGUAUUAGUUUAGGCAUGGUAGACUUUAUUUUGGCACUUUAACAAAUGCUUUAUUUUACAGCAGUGGCACAGCAUUUGCCAGAAGUUUUCUUUUCUUGGCACAGUUAUCUCAAGCAGUUAUUUUACUAAUUGAAUUUCACUAAAUAUUGCACAAUAAGAUAUACCUGUUAAAUUCUUACCCUGUUUUUACUUGUUGAACUUGUAUGGCUUCGAAAAAACCUGCCAGUAAGUAUAAGUAAUUUAAAAAGCAAUAUAUUAAAUAUUUUAGCACAGGAUAGCGUUCGUUUGUUUCUAAAUGACCACUGAACUUGGGACAGCGACAAAUACAAGUGACGCAACUCUUAUCUGAAGAGCUAAUAGCUCUUAUUUACAACACGGUGCCUUUUCUGAGAAGCAGUUCAGCUCGACAUCCCGAACAUCUAACUCUGGAAAUUUCAAAAUCAAAAGAGUGGAGGUUAACAGAGCAGAAGACGAAGCCAUUUGUCUGUGACAAAGCGUAAUAUAGAGAGGCAGACUAUCGUCUUCUCCACGUGUUCCCCUCUCCAACACCUAUCUGCGAUCUAAGCAACAGAGCCUUUCAUCUUCUACUUGGAAUAUUUCUUUCUUCUCUUAUGAAGAUAUUCCACUUGUCUCAACUCUUCUGCUGGAGUCCGAGCAGAAUCAAAUUUCUCCAAUAGGCCAGGGGAAAAAAAAUAAUAAUAAAAGAAAUGACAAAUCAAAAACUAAUAUACACAACAAAUGGAAUCGGGUACUCCUUUGAAUUUUACAGUACUGAAAACAACAUUUGCAGGAAGAGCAGGUCUGCGUCAAUACUGCCAUUAAAUGUAACACAGAGGCCAAAUGACUCGGAACCCUCACACCGUGUGUAGCACUUAUACAUUCCAGGCUUUCUGUGCCUCUUCGGCAGUAAAUCUGGUCUGAGGAUCAGCCUUAUCAACAGCCUUUUUGGUUUUGUUUCGGGUGGAUUUUGAGGACCUACUGGACGAACGUGGUGACAUUAAAACAUAACCAUGGCAGACACAAAACAGAAAACAUACAAAAGUAUAUCACAAUGGAAUUGUCAGUAUUAGGCCACAUGAUUUAUUCAGUAGUGUUUAUGUUCCCAAAUUACAAUGAUGUCUAUCCAUGUAAGACUACAAAAGUUACCAUUAGAAUUGUCUGUGCUUAUAAAAUACCAACAUUUUCUUUUACUGUUAUAUACUCAUUAACACCAGUCUGCGACAAGUUACAUAUAAUCAUAGGCACUUCAAAGGCUUUAAAAGACGUUUACAACUUAAAUGCAUUUUUAAAGAACAAAAAUUUAAACCCCUACAUGUACCUUCAAAUUGCAAAUAAUUAACAAAUACAGUGGCCAUAGAAAUCUGCAGCAACUUCUCAAAAUACUGUUAGAGUCUUUGGGUUUGCUUAGGUUUGUCAGUAGCUUACUUCAAAUCUUCCUGACAGGAGAUUUUAGUAAGAACACGACCAUACAGUUUGUAGUGAUGAUCCAAUUUUACACGUUAAUUCGCUGUUACAAAUCUCACUGAAGCUACAGGUACGCUGAGAAACAAUGCAAAGUGUAAAAUUGAUAAUCCGACACUUAGAUCUAUACAAAGUGGAGGUUAGAGUUUACAGAGCUGAAAAAUUACAUUGACACUAAAAGUCACUGUUAUCUGAAUUAUCUGAAGACAAAUUGCACCAUGACAACUACAAAAAGGCUUCUUUUUUUUUUUUCUCUUUUGGAAACAGAUAAAUUAAUGAAAUAAAAGCUAACUCGUAAGAUCAAUCUGAGACAUGCUGACAAAAAAUUAAACAGCUUCCAUUGACUCAUAGGAUAAAGCAAUCGUUUUCAUUAUAUUUAUGCAUCAAGUUUUAAAAAUGAUUCGGUUGAACACCAAUGGUUCUUAUAAAAUAAAUGCUUUGCCACUGUUAUCCACAGAACGCUGCAAGUGUUAAGUUUUAAUUUUACAUUUUUAAAGGAAUACGUGUAAAGUUUUAAAUACAAUGGGAUUUUAUCAUAAAGGUGCCGUGAUGGCUCUUUAAUGAAAAAAAAAAAAAAAAAAAAAAAAAAAAA
Coturnix japonica (Japanese quail) is the source of this 10428-nucleotide non-coding RNA. NCBI's taxonomy places the organism in Eukaryota, Metazoa, Chordata, Aves, Galliformes, Phasianidae. The record is from RefSeq and is a predicted model, not a curated record.